Non-coding RNA from Podarcis lilfordi (Lilford's wall lizard), 86 nucleotides. The record is from the annotation of a GenBank genome assembly. Lineage: Eukaryota; Metazoa; Chordata; Lepidosauria; Squamata; Lacertidae.
GCGAAUACUGAUAGCUCAGUCGGCGAGAGCGUGGUGCUGAUAACGUCGAGGUUGCAGGUUCGAUCCCUGCAUGUGAGAUAGCUGCA